CGCUUCUUUUUCCNCCGGAGCUUGCUCCACCGGAAAAAGAGGAGUGGCGAACGGGUGAGUAACACGUGGGUAACCUGCCCAUCAGAAGGGGAUAACACUUGGAAACAGGUGCUAAUACCGUAUAACAAUCGAAACCGCAUGGUUUUGAUUUGAAAGGCGCUUUCGGGUGUCGCUGAUGGAUGGACCCGCGGUGCAUUAGCUAGUUGGUGAGGUAACGGCUCACCAAGGCGACGAUGCAUAGCCGACCUGAGAGGGUGAUCGGCCACAUUGGGACUGAGACACGGCCCAAACUCCUACGGGAGGCAGCAGUAGGGAAUCUUCGGCAAUGGACGAAAGUCUGACCGAGCAACGCCGCGUGAGUGAAGAAGGUUUUCGGAUCGUAAAACUCUGUUGUUAGAGAAGAACAAGGAUGAGAGUAACUGUUCAUCCCUUGACGGUAUCUAACCAGAAAGCCACGGCUAACUACGUGCCAG
This 473-nucleotide ribosomal RNA is filed under the name Enterococcus hirae. RNAcentral's name for it is "bacterial SSU rRNA". It matches the Rfam family "Bacterial small subunit ribosomal RNA", at positions 67 to 511 of the family's 1533-position model. The record is from RNAcentral. Lineage: Bacteria; Bacillati; Bacillota; Bacilli; Lactobacillales; Enterococcaceae.